AACGAACGCUGGCGGCAGGCCUAACACAUGCAAGUCGAGCGCCCAGCAAUGGGAGCGGCAGACGGGUGAGUAACACGUGGGAACCUUCCCUAUAGUACGGAAUAGCCCAGGGAAACUUGGAGUAAUACCGGAUAAGCCCUGAGGGGGAAAGAUUUAUCGCCAAAAGAGCAGCCCGCGUUAGAUUAGGUAGUUGGUGGGGGUAAAGGCCUACCAAGCCUGCGAUCUAUAGCUGGUCUGAGAGGAUGAUCAGCCACACUGGGACUGAGACACGGCCCAGACUCCUACGGGAGGCAGCAGUGGGGAAUACUGGACAAUGGGGGAAACCCUGAUCCAGCAAUGCCGCGUGAGUGAUGAAGGCCUUCGGGUUGUAAAGCUCUUUUGUCUAGGGACGAUGAUGACGGUACCUGACGAAUAAGCUCCGGCUAACUUCGUGCCAGCAGCCGCG
Molecule: ribosomal RNA, 445 nt
Filed under: uncultured bacterium
Lineage: Bacteria
Description: bacterial SSU rRNA
Rfam family: Bacterial small subunit ribosomal RNA
Source: RNAcentral